GCUCGGGUGGUGGAAUUGGUAGACACAAGGGACUUAAAAUCCCUUGACUUCACGGUCGUGCGGGUUCGAGUCCCGCCCCGAGCA
Molecule: transfer RNA, 84 nt
Filed under: Simkaniaceae bacterium
Lineage: Bacteria; Pseudomonadati; Chlamydiota; Chlamydiia; Parachlamydiales; Simkaniaceae
Description: tRNA-Leu
Rfam family: tRNA
About the family: Transfer RNA (tRNA) molecules are approximately 80 nucleotides in length. Their secondary structure includes four short double-helical elements and three loops (D, anti-codon, and T loops).
Source: RNAcentral